AGCAGCCGCGGUAAUUCCAGCUCCAAUAGCGUAUAUUAAAGUUGUUGUGGUUAAAAAGCUCGUAGUUGAACCUUGGGCCUGGCUGGCCGGUCCGCCUCACCGCGUGUACUGGUCCGGCCGGGCCUUUCCCUCUGUGGAACCCCAUGCCCUUCACUGGGUGUGGCGGGGAAACAGGACUUUUACUUUGAAAAAAUUAGAGUGCUCCAGGCAGGCCUAUGCUCGAAUACAUUAGCAUGGAAUAAUAGAAUAGGACGUGUGGUUCUAUUUUGUUGGUUUCUAGGACCGCCGUAAUGAUUAAUAGGGACAGUCGGGGGCAUCAGUAUUCAAUUGUCAGAGGUGAAAUUCUUGGAUUUAUUGAAGACUAACUACUGCGAAAGCAUUUGCCAAGGAUGUUUUCAUUAAUCAGGAACGAAAGUUAGGGGAUCGAAGACGAUCAGAUACCGUCGUAGUCUUAACCAUAAACUAUGCCGACUAGGGAUCGGACGAUG
Molecule: ribosomal RNA, 488 nt
Filed under: uncultured Paraglomus
Lineage: Eukaryota; Fungi; Glomeromycota; Glomeromycetes; Paraglomerales; Paraglomeraceae
Description: SSU rRNA
Rfam family: Eukaryotic small subunit ribosomal RNA
Source: RNAcentral